RNAcentral lists this long non-coding RNA (1843 nucleotides) under Solanum tuberosum (potato). RNAcentral describes it as "long non-coding RNA (STUB_LNC006618)". The record is from RNAcentral. Lineage: Eukaryota; Viridiplantae; Streptophyta; Magnoliopsida; Solanales; Solanaceae.
CGGCUUCCUAUCUUCUGGAGAUCCAACUGUAUCCAUAUAGCAGGUAGUGUUCAUUUUCCGAUUCUUCUCAAUCGAUCCCUUUUUGUUGUAAAUUCUGCAUAGAACCCAAUCAUCUAGCUGUAAACAAAAUACAAACCGUCAAAAAUCAAUCGAAAACACAGUCUAAAUCGUCAAAACAAUGAAUCUGUUCUGUACUCACCCUUAAGCUAUUGUUGUUCUUACGAGCAGAUCGAUCAACAUCAGCAAGACGAUAUUCAUGCAUGAUCCAAUUAGUCUUCUCUCCUUUAGGUGCCUUACCAGAAUAAAACACCAAUGCUUUCUUAAUUCCCACCGCUUUCGGAAUUCCAAUCGGCUUAUCCGCACCAGUAGCCUUCCAAUAUCCACUUCCAGCAGCUCGAUUCGGUCGUGAACCGUUCGGAUACUUCCGAUCUCGAGGUGAAAAGAAGUACCACUCUUUCUCUCCAUACAAUGCCAAAUCUAAAACACGAACACAAAAUUUAAUCAACACAAAUCCCCAAUUUCAUCAUUUCAACUGUUCACUACUAACAAAAACUAAAUUACCAGGAAGAUCCCAUGGAUCAAACUUGUAGAGAUCAAUUUCAGCUACAAUUGGUACAGUAAUUGGCUGGGAAGUGCAUUUUCGGCAUAAAUAAUGCGUCACAAGUUCUUCAUCAGUUGGAUGAAAUCUGAAUCCUGGAGGUAACUGCAAUUCAGCUGCUGUCAUUUUUCUUUUUUCUUUUAAAUAUAAAUUUCUGUUUUUAGUAUAAAUACAGAGUAUCUGAAUGAUUUCUGAAUUCUGAAUAGAAGAGAAGGAAUAGGAAAAGGGUUGAAAGUUGAAACUUAGGUCACAAGGGAGAGAACUAAAUAUAUAGAAAACGGAAGAAGGACACGUGGCGAAGAUAAGCUAAACGGAUCUAGAAAAAACGUGUUAAAAUAAUUAGAAAUAAAAUGUAAAAUUGAAAAUUAUAUUAAAAAAGAGUGGACACGUAUGCAAAAAUUGAGUUUGAGGGGGUAGGUGAGGGGGUGGGGGUGCAUUUGGUCACUGCUUACGCACUGCUUUUUGGACACAAGUGUCGAAAGGGACUAGGUGGCUCGGCGGGUUCAUGGAAGUUUCUGGUUCGGUUUUGGUUCGGGAGGAUCAGGCUCGGGAAGUUGACACGUAUACCAGGUAGAUGCACGCUCGGUAAUUUUGUGUCGUUACUUACGACAAAAAUGUGGGGGGCCACUUUAUUUUUUUAUAUUUUAUAAUUAAGUAAAUAAAAUAAAUUUAAAUUUAAAAAAAUGGAUGUGGAACUUUUAUGGUGUGAAGGUGGUAGUUGGAAUUGAUGAGAAGGAGAUGAACUAAUGUGUCAAUGAUUAGUGAAUUAACGUUGCUAGGAGUGACACAUAUACUAAUGAAUUUAUUAAGAUUGUAAAAAAACAAAAAACAAAAAAAAUAAAAAUGAAUGUAUUUAAAGAAAAAGAAAAACUAAUUUUUGUGAUUCUUUAAAGUAAACUUCAAUUAAAGAUGAAGAAAUUUGAUAUAUUUUAUGUUUUUUUUUAUCUAUCGUGGAAUAUCUAAGUUUGAUAAGGCCUCAUUUAGCAGGAAGCACGUCUACUAAGAAUUUUUUUCUAAUUUCUGAUUGAGAAAAGAAGCGGUCUCAUUCAGAAUAACACAUCUUUGCUAUUGUUAUUUUCCUAUCUAUUUGCGAUUCCUUAAAGUAAAAAGGUGUAAGCAUAUUCUUUAGAUGAUUUUGUAUAAUCAAUUUGCAGGAAUGAGAAAGAAAAAAAAAAGAACAAUGUUUGGUUUGUUUACACCUUUCGUAAUCAGAAUAUAGUUACUCAACAAUUAUUUUAUUGUGAA